CGGGCGUCUUAACAUGCAAGUAGGACGCACAGUUUAUACCGUAGCUUGCUACACCAUAGACUGUGAGUUGCGAACGGGUGAGUAACGCGUAGGUAACCUACCUAUUAGAGGGGGAUAACUAUUGGAAACGAUAGCUAAUACCGCAUAACAGUAUGUAACACAUGUUAGAUGCUUGAAAGAUGCAAUUGCAUCGCUAGUAGAUGGACCUGCGUUGUAUUAGCUAGUAGGUAGGGUAAAGGCCUACCUAGGCAACGAUACAUAGCCGACCUGAGAGGGUGAUCGGCCACACUGGGACUGAGACACGGCCCAGACUCCUACGGAGGCAGCAGUAGGGAAUCUUCGGCAAUGGGGGGAACCCUGACCGAGCAACGCCGCGUGAGUGAAGAAGGUUUUCGGAUCGUAAAGCUCUGUUGUUAAGGAAGAACGAGUGUGAGA
Molecule: ribosomal RNA, 435 nt
Filed under: Streptococcus anginosus
Lineage: Bacteria; Bacillati; Bacillota; Bacilli; Lactobacillales; Streptococcaceae
Description: bacterial SSU rRNA
Rfam family: Bacterial small subunit ribosomal RNA
Source: RNAcentral